Molecule: long non-coding RNA, 1005 nt
Organism: Daphnia pulicaria
Lineage: Eukaryota; Metazoa; Arthropoda; Branchiopoda; Diplostraca; Daphniidae
Exons: 4
Source: RefSeq, a predicted model, not a curated record
AUAUCCACAAACUGUUUUCUGCCAGUGGUCCGCCAUUGUUGUUUUGGUUUUCAAUGCUUGAAUUUUGUUAUGUGAAACGUCACUCAGACGAAAGUCCAGCCCUAUUUAUACUAAUGCUAGAGCAAAAAGUGUUAGCUCUUUCCCAUUUCCUUUACCUGAAUUGCCAACAUCACCAAAGAUUCAGAUCAAACCCAGACCAAGACAAGGUGGCAACAAUUCUAAGAGUGUGGUUCUUGUAACUCCUCCUUUCCCCAAAAGUUCACAAUCACCAAAUUCAAUGAAUCUGUUUAUUUUGAUGUCAACAUUUAGGGCCAGGCCCUAAGCUCUCGAAGACCUUUUCCUUUUUCAAGAAUUAGAUUUGGCAGGUAACGUGUUCCUCAUGUUGCUAUGGUGACCUUGACUGUUGGUUCAAUUGUUGUCGACAGAUUACAGACUAACCUUUACCAGUAUAGGGACUCAUUGCAAUCAGGAAAAUAUCAUUGCAAUUAUGAAAUGACGAGUAGCAAUAACACGAAUUCAAAUUUUGGAUUUCUCAUGAAAGAUGGAGUUCUCUGUCGUGUGCAGCUCAGGUACCGUAAAGCAGAACCCGUAGAAAAAGUUUAGCUUAGCCGAUAGCGCGACUGCCUGGUGCAAACUGGUUCCAAGCUUUAGGCUUGGAACCAGCUUGCACCAAGUAUACCCUAAUGAAGUAUUUGAUGGACUUCUUUUUAAUGCUGAAACUAAAGCCACUCCAAGCAUGUUAUUUUCUGUAUUAUAUUUCCCCUUUUUAUUUAUGCUUGCGCAAGGCUAUUUCAAGGCAAUAGUUUUUAACUUUUUAAAUUGAUUGCUCAGAAUGAGGCUAUUCCAAGCACAGCAAACAUGAAAUGUUUGCUGUGCUUGGAAUAACCUUGGCGCAAGCAUAAAUAUUAACAAAUUAACUGAUUAUAUAUUAUAGGCUAAUUAUGAAAUAAAUAUUGCAUAUAUGUUUCAUUUGAAUUCCUUAUAUGAAUAAAAAUAUAUUUAUAC